Molecule: long non-coding RNA, 1533 nt
Organism: Argentina anserina (silverweed cinquefoil)
Lineage: Eukaryota; Viridiplantae; Streptophyta; Magnoliopsida; Rosales; Rosaceae
Exons: 10
Source: RefSeq, a predicted model, not a curated record
CACUAAGGUUUUGUUCAGUAAAAGUUACAGAAAGUGCAGGCAUGGUCUGAUAGUCCCUUGUUCUCUGGAUUGGUUAUGUUCAUCAUUUUUUAUCUGAUUUUUUUGAGCUGGUAAUAAGAAGAUUUACCAAGCAGUUGUUGCUGGCAGUAGAAUAUCUACACAAACAAGGAAUCAUACAUGGGGAUAUUAAGGGAGCAAAUAUCCUUGUUGGUAAUAAAGGGCGCAUUAAACUAGCAGAUUUUGGUACAUCCAGACAGGCAGCCGUUUCAGGUGCAAAGCCUACAAGGGGUACACCAUACUGGAUGGCUCCUGAAGUCAUUUGUGGGACUGGUCAGGACUUAUAUAUGGAGCCUUGGAUGCACUGUGAUUGAGAUGGCCACUGGAAAUCCUCCUAGGAACCAACCGUUUGAGACAGUAAUCAUUUGACAUACUGAUAGCUUCAUAUUAAUAUAAAGUUCUCUGUCACAAUUGUUGCACUAACGAUAUGUUCCUUUAGGCUGCUUUCUUUUAUUGUGUAGGGACAAGCAAGUCACAUCCACCAAUCCCUGAGCAUCUUUCUUCUGCAGCUAAAGAUUUUCUGAACGAAUGUCUGAAAAAGGAACCAACUGCAAGGCCAUCCGCAUGUGAGUUGCUUAAGCAUCCUUUCUUAACUGAGAAAGAAGUGGAUUCUCAGGAUCUUUCUCAUUCUGCUGUCAUGGAAGAAGAAGUGGCAUCCUCACUUUGCCAAACAAAUUCUGAUGAAACUGCAAGCAUGUGGACGACGAUGCAAACUCUGAUUUUUUAUCCCAUCCAGCUAGUGGUGGAACUGGAAGAGUGAUUGUGGAGGGAGCCAUUAAACAAGUUUUUUCAAAGUUUUUAAAACUCUUUAAGAGGUCGAGAGGAACUACAAGAAAUACAUCAGAUAAGUUCAGCUAUGCAUCUAUCAUGGUGGCCACAGAAUAAGCUCGGCGAAGGGGCAUUUGGAAAUGUUUAUAAGGGAAAAAUGGUGACUGGACAAGAAGUAGCUGUAAAAAGUCUUUCAAGUACUUCAAAACAAGGAGAUUCGGAGUUGAAGAAUGAGCUGAUCUUGCGUGAAUUCCAACAUCGAAACAUUAUUCAGAUGUUAGGAUUAUGUAUUCAUGGUAUCGAAAGAGUUCUAAUAUACGAGUACAUGGUGAAAGGAAGUUUAUACAAUCAUUUAUUUGGUUCAUCCAGUGACUUGCUACUAAAUUGGAGUAAGCGCUUCAACAUAAUUGAAGGAAUCGCUCAAGGAUUGGCUUACUUGCACAAAUACUCCCGAACGAGAGUAAUUCAUAGAGAUAUAAAAGCUGACUUGCAGGGAAUUGUCAUAUAUAUAGCAAAUGAUCUUUGGGAUGAUUAGCAUGCAUGUUGCUGCAUGUUCUCCCUGCAAGUUCUCCUCCAAUACUCCCCCUCAAGCUGGAUUGAGGGAGUCUCUUGAUCCAAGCUUGGCAAGCAGAUAAUUAAAUUGGGCUGUAGACAGAAUUUUUGUGAAAAUAUAUGUCAAUUGAUCACAAGAUCGAAUGUACGCAGUUU